AUUUUUUUGUAGCCCUAAUAAAAAUUCAUAACUUAGUUUACAAACUGAAUAAUGUGUAGACAAAAAGAUAGGCAUUCCAUUAAGCAUAGCAGUUAUUACCAGUGGCGGAGCUACGUUAGUGGAGAGGGGGGCAACUGCCCCAGAUAAAACAAAAUAUUUAUCCAAAUCGUUAAGUAAUUAACCAAAGUUUUACUAGAUCAGCUUGUCUUGUCCCCGUUGAAAUUUUCUUCCUGCCCCCAC
Molecule: long non-coding RNA, 240 nt
Filed under: Brassica napus (rape)
Lineage: Eukaryota; Viridiplantae; Streptophyta; Magnoliopsida; Brassicales; Brassicaceae
Description: long non-coding RNA (BNAP_LNC026511)
Source: RNAcentral